RNAcentral lists this ribosomal RNA (253 nucleotides) under uncultured bacterium. RNAcentral describes it as "partial 16S ribosomal RNA". It matches the Rfam family "Bacterial small subunit ribosomal RNA", at positions 524 to 776 of the family's 1533-position model. The record is from RNAcentral.
UACAGAGGAGCCAAGCGUUGUCCGGAUUGACUGGGCGUAAAGCGCACGCAGGCGGAUGCGCGCGUGGGGUGUGAAAUCUGGCCGCUUAACGGCCAGGCGCCAUCCCAUACGGCGCGUCUGGAGUGAUGCAGAGGUCGAUGGAAUUGCCGGUGUAGUGGUGAAAUGCGUAGAUAUCCGGAGGAAUACCAAAGGCGAAGGCAGUGUCCUGGGGAGUGUCUGACGCUCAGGCGCGAAAGCUAGGGGAGCGAACAGG